GACGAACGCUGGCGGCGUGCCUAAUACAUGCAAGUAGAACGCUGAAGGAGGAGCUUGCUUCUCUGGAUGAGUUGCGAACGGGUGAGUAACGCGUAGGUAACCUGCCUGGUUGCGGGGGAUAACUAUUGGAAACGAUAGCUAAUACCGCAUAAGAGUAGAUGUUGCAUGACAUUUGCUUAAAAGGUGCAAUUGCAUCACUACCAGAUGGACCUGCGUUGUAUUAGCUAGUUGGUGGGGUAACGGCUCACCAAGGCGACGAUACAUAGCCGACCUGAGAGGGUGAUCGGCCACACUGGGACUGAGACACGGCCCAGACUCCUACGGGAGGCAGCAGUAGGGAAUCUUCGGCAAUGGACGGAAGUCUGACCGAGCAACGCCGCGUGAGUGAAGAAGGUUUUCGGAUCGUAAAGCUCUGUUGUAAGAGAAGAACGAGUGUGAGAGUGGAAAGUUCACACUGUGACGGUAUCUUACCAGAAAGGGACGGCUAACUACGUG
RNAcentral lists this ribosomal RNA (495 nucleotides) under uncultured bacterium. Its description in RNAcentral is "partial 16S ribosomal RNA". It matches the Rfam family "Bacterial small subunit ribosomal RNA", at positions 28 to 507 of the family's 1533-position model. The record is from RNAcentral.